GACAGAAUCCCCAAGCGUUACCCGGAUUUAUUGGGCGUAAAGGGUCCGUAGGUGGCGUGGUAAGUUGAAUGUUAAAGUUCAUCGGCUUAACCUUUGAAGUGCAUUCAAUACUGCCAUGCUUGAGGGCGUUAGGGGUUAGCGGAACCGACGGAGUAGGGGUGAAAUCCGUUGAUAUCGUCGGGAACACCAAAAGCGAAGGCAGCUAACUAGGAUGACCCUGACACUGAGGGACGAAAGCGUGGGGA
This 245-nucleotide ribosomal RNA is filed under the name uncultured bacterium. RNAcentral's name for it is "partial 16S ribosomal RNA". It matches the Rfam family "Bacterial small subunit ribosomal RNA", at positions 524 to 767 of the family's 1533-position model. The record is from RNAcentral.